ACGGAAGGCAGCAGUGAGGAAUAUUGGUCAAUGGACGGAAGUCUGAACCAGCCAAGUAGCGUGCAGGAUGACGGCCCUAUGGGUUGUAAACUGCUUUUGUUGGGGAAUAAAAUGAGGGACGUGUCCCUUUUUGCAUGUACCCUUCGAAUAAGGACCGGCUAAUUCCGUGCCAGCAGCCGCGGUAAUACGGAAGGUCCGGGCGUUAUCCGGAUUUAUUGGGUUUAAAGGGAGCGUAGGCCGCCUGGUAAGCGUGUUGUGAAAUGUAGUCGCUCAACGUCUGCACUGCAGCGCGAACUGUCGGGCUUGAGUACGCUGGAAGUUGGCGGAAUUCGUCGUGUAGCGGUGAAAUGCUUAGAUAUGACGAAGAACUCCGAUUGCGAAGGCAGCUGACUGUCGCGUUACUGACGCUGAAGCUCGAAAGUGCGGGUAUCGAACAGGAUUAGAUACCCUGGUA
Molecule: ribosomal RNA, 454 nt
Filed under: uncultured Prevotella sp.
Lineage: Bacteria; Pseudomonadati; Bacteroidota; Bacteroidia; Bacteroidales; Prevotellaceae
Description: partial 16S ribosomal RNA
Rfam family: Bacterial small subunit ribosomal RNA
Source: RNAcentral